CGACCCGCUCAAGAAACUUAAAGGAAUUAGACGGGGACCCGCACAAGCAGCGGAGCAUGUGGUUUAAUUCGAAGCAACGCGAAGAACCUUACCAGAUCUUGACAUCCAAUUGACCAUCUUUUAAUCGAGAUUUUGCCUUCGGGUACAAUUGAGACAGGUGGUGCAUGGUUGUCGUCAGCUCGUGUCGUGAGAUGUUGGGUUAAGUCCCGCAACGAGCGCAACCCUUGUGUUUAGUUGCAAACAGGUCAAGCUGUGCACUCUAGACAGACUGCCGUGGACAACACGGAGGAAGGUGGGGAUGACGUCAAAUCAUCAUGCCCCUUAUGAUCUGGGCUACACACGUGCUACAAUGGCCGGUACAACGGGCAGCGAAGGAGCGAUCCGGAGCGAAUCCUAAAAAGCCGGUCCCAGUUCGGAUUGCAGGCUGAAACUCGCCUACAUGAAGUUGGAGUUGCUAGUAAUCGCGAAUCAGAAUGUCGCGGUGAAUGCGUUCCCGGGUCUU
This 502-nucleotide ribosomal RNA is filed under the name uncultured Fusibacter sp. Its description in RNAcentral is "bacterial SSU rRNA". It matches the Rfam family "Bacterial small subunit ribosomal RNA", at positions 880 to 1382 of the family's 1533-position model. Lineage: Bacteria; Bacillati; Bacillota; Clostridia; Eubacteriales; Fusibacteraceae. The record is from RNAcentral.